GGGUGGAGCAGCUUGGUAGCUCGUCGGGCUCAUAACCCGAAGGUCGUCGGUUCAAAUCCGGCCCC
RNAcentral lists this transfer RNA (65 nucleotides) under Vibrio coralliilyticus. RNAcentral describes it as "tRNA-Met". It matches the Rfam family "tRNA", at positions 5 to 66 of the family's 71-position model. From Rfam's summary of the family: Transfer RNA (tRNA) molecules are approximately 80 nucleotides in length. Their secondary structure includes four short double-helical elements and three loops (D, anti-codon, and T loops). The record is from RNAcentral. Lineage: Bacteria; Pseudomonadati; Pseudomonadota; Gammaproteobacteria; Vibrionales; Vibrionaceae.